CGGCACCGCCUUUGAACCUAUGGGUCUUUUCUGUGACCUCUGAGGGAUAGCUACAGUGCUAAAGCAAACUCAAGCUUGUUCAUAACUGGGGCUUCCUGGCAACACAUCCUGGCUGCUCUUUUAAAAGCAAGCUACAUUU
Molecule: small nucleolar RNA, 139 nt
Organism: Nematolebias whitei (Rio pearlfish)
Lineage: Eukaryota; Metazoa; Chordata; Actinopteri; Cyprinodontiformes; Rivulidae
Source: RefSeq, a predicted model, not a curated record